Molecule: long non-coding RNA, 232 nt
Filed under: Ananas comosus (pineapple)
Lineage: Eukaryota; Viridiplantae; Streptophyta; Magnoliopsida; Poales; Bromeliaceae
Description: long non-coding RNA (ACOM_LNC019451)
Source: RNAcentral
ACUCAGCAUCAGACAUGCGCAAACCCGAGAGCAUCCAGUUCUACAAUCUCACUGGGGUACCAGUACUUCUCCCCAGGUACCAGUACUCAACACUGAAAUCCUACACUUUGCAGAUUUCAGUGUCAGAACUCCACUGUCGCACCACGCUAAGUCCGUUUUGCAUCCAUUUCGCACCAAAACGACUCCGACUUGUCUCAACACCUACCAGACGUGUCAACAAGCCACAGAUACU